Molecule: transfer RNA, 74 nt
Filed under: Bacillota bacterium
Lineage: Bacteria; Bacillati; Bacillota
Description: tRNA-Pro
Rfam family: tRNA
About the family: Transfer RNA (tRNA) molecules are approximately 80 nucleotides in length. Their secondary structure includes four short double-helical elements and three loops (D, anti-codon, and T loops).
Source: RNAcentral
GUGGGUGAAGUGUUAUGGCAGCACCUUCGGCUUGGGACCGAAAAGUGGGAGUUCGAUUCUCCUCACCCGCACCA